GUCUUCGUAGGUAAUGUCAUCCUUCUUCUUUGAACCCACCCUACCAAACAAGCGUAAUAGUCGGACAACUUAUAAGGAGGAAGAGAGUGAAAUGUAUGAUUCAAUAUCAUUCAUAUUACAACAAAAUGUGUUAAAAAACCAUGUACAAAUAGAGCCCUAAUUCCGAAUCAAUCCAGACCUUUCGGUUGAUAAAAUUGUGAAGAGAGCAAUAGAAACGGGGCCAUCGCUUGGAGACGAGAAAGCGACAGUAGAGGAAGACGGCGGAGGGGGGCGGCGGUGGAAAAUUUCGUGGAGGAGCACAACCCAUAGAUUUUUUGCGAGACUGGGUGAGUACCAUUGCAAUUCUUGCUCAGCUGACUGCUCUUGCAAGAGCUACCAUCGCCAGAAGCAGAAUAAUGGAUUUAGGAGAUGAAAUGCGGAAAGUUCUUUACUGGAUUGCGCAAGUUUUUGUGGUUGCGGGUGUAGUGUCAAGAGUUGAAGAGAUGAGCAGGAAAAGAUAACAGGUGACAGACAUAAAAUGCCCUCGUUUUCAAUACCACCAGGGAAGAGAAGGGGGUGGGGGGCAUAUGGGACCGCUGAAGUCCAUGAAAUAUGGUUCUCUAAUAAAAGCCAUACACAGGUUCACAAUGGUGCGGCAAAACAAUGGUAAAUGAGCAAUUAGAUGUGGUGGAUGCCGUCUCGUAUAAACAAACCAAGUGUAUAGAGUACAAAGAAAGGAGUUUCAAACGUCUACGGGAUGAAAUUCUAUAUUUAUUAACUGUUUGCAAAGAGCUGCUCUCUCUCCGUGUGUGGUUAUUAACUAAUUUUUUCCCUGAUUAUUAUCGUAAAUAUCGGUCAAUUUGAAGUGCUUGAUCCCAA
This is a long non-coding RNA of Cornus florida, 858 nucleotides long. RefSeq lists it as uncharacterized. The transcript is spliced from 5 exons. The record is from RefSeq and is a predicted model, not a curated record. Lineage: Eukaryota; Viridiplantae; Streptophyta; Magnoliopsida; Cornales; Cornaceae.